GUUACAGAGUUACCGAGACCUACUUUCAGCAGCUCCAAUGAGCUCCCCUGCGGAGGGCGCUGUAGGAGGCUUCAGGAUCCUCCUCGCUGGAAGCUUCAUCAGAUGCAGGCUCCUUAAACACAAAGCCAAAUCCACAAGUUGGAAAUGUUGUUCUAUUGUUCCAAUAAAUCUUUUUAAGUACUGA
Cyprinodon tularosa is the source of this 184-nucleotide long non-coding RNA. RefSeq lists it as uncharacterized. The record is from RefSeq and is a predicted model, not a curated record. NCBI's taxonomy places the organism in Eukaryota, Metazoa, Chordata, Actinopteri, Cyprinodontiformes, Cyprinodontidae. The transcript is spliced from 2 exons.